AGCGAACGCUGGCGGCAGGCUUAACACAUGCAAGUCGAACGGGCAUCUUCGGAUGUCGGUGGCAGACGGGUGAGUAACACGUGGGAACGUACCCUUCGGUUCGGAAUAACUCAGGGAAACUUGAGCUAAUACCGGAUACGCCCUUUUGGGGAAAGGUUUACUGCCGAAGGAUCGGCUCGCGUCUGAUUAGCUUGUUGGUGGGGUAACGGCCUACCAAGGCGACGAUCAGUAGCUGGUCUGAGAGGAUGAUCAGCCACACUGGGACUGAGACACGGCCCAGACUCCUACGGGAGGCAGCAGUGGGGAAUAUUGGACAAUGGGCGCAAGCCUGAUCCAGCCAUGCCGCGUGAGUGAUGAAGGCCUUAGGGUUGUAAAGCUCUUUUGUCCGGGACGAUAAUGACGGUACCGGAAGAAUAAGCCCCGGCUAACUUCGUG
This 435-nucleotide ribosomal RNA is filed under the name uncultured bacterium. RNAcentral describes it as "partial 16S ribosomal RNA". It matches the Rfam family "Bacterial small subunit ribosomal RNA", at positions 29 to 507 of the family's 1533-position model. The record is from RNAcentral.